GAUACCAGACUAAGUAUGUAAAGAUGACCAAUCAAAAGGGGAAACCACAAACAUUACCGGCAAACGGCGAAUGAAAGAGGACCCACUGAGGAUAAAAUGGCUUACUCGGAGCAAUUAUCCAAAAGGAAGGGGAAGACCCGCUGGGGAUAAGAUUGCUUAAUCAUACCACAAACAUUACCGGCAAACGGCGAAUGAAAGAGGACCCACUGAGGAUAAAAUGGCUUACUCGGAGCAAUUAUCCAAAAGGAAGGGGAAGACCCGCUGGGGAU
This 269-nucleotide long non-coding RNA is filed under the name Lathyrus oleraceus (garden pea). RNAcentral's name for it is "Pisum sativum (pea) long non-coding RNA (PSAT_LNC028584)". The record is from RNAcentral. Lineage: Eukaryota; Viridiplantae; Streptophyta; Magnoliopsida; Fabales; Fabaceae.